RNAcentral lists this long non-coding RNA (762 nucleotides) under Nicotiana tabacum (common tobacco). RNAcentral describes it as "long non-coding RNA (NTAB_LNC000330)". The record is from RNAcentral. Lineage: Eukaryota; Viridiplantae; Streptophyta; Magnoliopsida; Solanales; Solanaceae.
GAAUGGAGGCCGGCUCAAAGGGUUUGCAAAGGGUUGAUAGUGUUUGGGUAGCGAGAAUGAAAGCCUUCGUCAUCCCAAUUGGAGAAUAUUAGUACUAUAUGGAGGAUCCAACAUAGUACCUUUUGACUGUAUUUGCAUUGACAGUUAUUUCAGGGACAUUUCUUUCAAUGUGUCCCAAGUGCAACACACUCUUUUGGCAGUACUCUUGUUGCAAUGUACGAAUCUUUCCAAUCUGGGAACCAAUUUUCCUUCAGUUGUUCCAACUCUUUGUUUUAUUUCCUUAAACUUUAUCUUCAUUGCGAUCUAAUCCUUGAUUCAUUAUUUCGAGGCCUAACAACUUUCAGGAUCUGGGCAUGAAGUCCGCAAGCAUGUCAUGUUAUUGAAAUCUACAUUUAACAGAACUAAAAAGAGAAUAAGAAAGAAAAAUGACAAGAUUAAGAAAAGAGAUAUUCCUAGAAAAUGAAAUAUUAAUUUCAUUUGAUUUUUUUUUGAUUUUUUUUUUGAUUUUUUUUUUACAAUUUUUUGAAGAUAGAAGUGUUUGCAUCAGAAAGUAAGACAAUAAGGUAAAACAUCCGGAUCACACCUUGAGAUAAUCCGGAUGCAGAAAGGAUAAGACUGGACACUAAGACUCCCAUUUGAUGGGGAACUUUCAUGUUUGGCGACCAUUUUUGGCUUUUCUUCUAUCUCGGCAAAGGCUGCAACGGCCUUCGGUGCCGGAUCAAAUUCCUCAGCUUCACAAAUCAUUCUGACCAUUGGCCCAAU